Molecule: non-coding RNA, 46 nt
Organism: Takifugu rubripes (torafugu)
Lineage: Eukaryota; Metazoa; Chordata; Actinopteri; Tetraodontiformes; Tetraodontidae
Source: Rfam
ACAAAGGCUCUUUUAAGAGCCACAUCAACUCUUCUAACAGAGCUCU